Molecule: small nucleolar RNA, 104 nt
Organism: Syzygium oleosum
Lineage: Eukaryota; Viridiplantae; Streptophyta; Magnoliopsida; Myrtales; Myrtaceae
Product: small nucleolar RNA Z152/R70/R12
Exons: 1
Source: RefSeq, a predicted model, not a curated record
AUUGCAGUGAUGAGAUUAAGGCGCUCGUAGUGGGUGUCGAUGGGCAGUGGAUUACUCCGUGAGCCUAAUUCUUGAAUAAACGACUUCUCCUUCCACUGAGCAAC